This 497-nucleotide ribosomal RNA is filed under the name uncultured bacterium. RNAcentral describes it as "partial 16S ribosomal RNA". It matches the Rfam family "Bacterial small subunit ribosomal RNA", at positions 28 to 507 of the family's 1533-position model. The record is from RNAcentral.
GAUGAACGCUGGCGGUGUGCCUAAUACAUGCAAGUCGAGCGAACAGACGAGGAGCUUACUCCUCUGACGUUAGCGGCGGACGGGUGAGUAACACGUGGAUAACCUACCUAUAAGACUGGGAUAACUUCGGGAAACCGGAGCUAAUACCGGAUAACAUGUUGAACCGCAUGGUUCAACAGUGAAAGACGGUCUUGCUGUCACUUAUAGAUGGAUCCGCGUCGCAUUAGCUAGUUGGUAAGGUAACGGCUUACCAAGGCAACGAUGCGUAGCCGACCUGAGAGGGUGAUCGGCCACACUGGAACUGAGACACGGUCCAGACUCCUACGGGAGGCAGCAGUAGGGAAUCUUCCGCAAUGGGCGAAAGCCUGACAGAGCAACGCCGCGUGAGUGAAGAAGGUCUUCGGAUCGUAAAACUCUGUUAUUAGGGAAGAACAAAUGUGUAAGUAACUAUGCACGUCUUGACGGUACCUAAUCAGAAAGCCACGGCUAACUACGUG